CUGAGGUAUGCCAAUAUAAUAAAUGAACUGGACGAGAAUAAGUGACGCCAGGUCUUAUAGAGCAAUCAAUACAAAUUUUAAAGUUUUGGUUCAAAUCCUCAGUAUGUACAGAGGUCAAGAGACAACACCAAGUGUCUACAACCAACUGUAGAACAUGGUGGAUGCGUUGUGAUGUAUUUAUGUCAGUGGUGUUUCAGAUCUUGUCAAAAUGUAUGCAAUUGCACACAGAGAAAUGCACUGUGUAGCAUCAAAUUUUGCAUUACCAUCUUGAAAGCAUCUGAUUGGCAAUGGCUUCUUUUGUUCAGCGUGACAAUGAUCACACUGCAAAUGCAGUAAAAGCAUACCUGGAUGGAAAAACACACAAUGGUAGACUAUCAGUCAGGGACUGGCCUUCGCCAUGAACAUGCAUUUUGUUGGACAUCGAUGUGGAUGACUUGUUUUAUGAAGGAGACUAAGCUGCCCAUUCGCUUAUGUUCACUGUUUUCUGGACUGAUGCCCUGGACAAGUUGUAUAUGUGUAUGUUAUAUAAUAACUUAUUAGGAGGAUAAUAAUACUAGUUAUUUUUUUUAUAUUUUCUUCAUUUUUUUAGUGUUGAUUUUAUUUUUUGGAUGAAACGUUUAAAUAAUGCAAACUAUAGUAGAUCCAUCUACGUGGAUUAUCAGCAUGCAGUUACGUUUGCAUUCCAUUUUUACAACUGUGUCUGCUGUAGACUGAACAUUGUGUUAUUGUCCUGACUGGAGAACCUAAAACCUUAUUUUGUGGUCUGGGCUGGCUUGAUUUUGCCUGUUUACAGUGGUUACAACAUAUUAACCUUUUUAUAGAAAUGGGAUUGCAAACUCUGCUUGCCUUCAGCAAAUACUUGCAAUGUCACCAGAGCCCUGGAAGUCAAUGAAAUAAUACAAUGUCCUUAGUGCCAAAGAUAACAUAGAAUAUGUUAUCAGAAGCAUUAUUUGGUCACAAAUUGUUUCAUCUUUAUUAUGAAGGGACGUAUUUUGACUCUGCAGGCUUUCCUUAUUUUACUUGUCACACAGUGUGUAAGAUACUGAAGAACAGCGUCUGGGUUAUCCUGGUCCCAAAAUGAAUAAACCCUGUCCUUAUCUAAAAAUGUAGAAACAUUCCAGAAACCUUUGUUCAUCUCUGCUGUUUUUUAUUAACCCAACCUUUACAGUACAUAACACAUUUUGUGGGUCAUCGUUGUCAAUUCCUGAUUAAAAUAUGUCAUCCUUUUUUGCAUAAUGCUGUUAACACAUUUCCCCCUUUUUUUGCUGGUUUACUGUCAAAACAAGUCAUCUGGGUUACCCCUUUAUCAGCUACCCACUCAGCACUGUUACAGAUAAAUCCCUCUUACUCUUUUACCAUGCUGCUUAUCACUUACUGUGCCAUGAUGUGGUCACAGCAAAUACAGCAAAAAGAAGAUGAAUCUGCUUGUCUGCAGAAGUCACUUCUGCAGAUAUGCCUGAAUUUUAAAAUUCACCUCAAACGUAAGCUUAUUUAAGCCUAGCAGCAAUUAAAGUUUC
Astatotilapia calliptera (eastern happy) is the source of this 1517-nucleotide long non-coding RNA. NCBI's taxonomy places the organism in Eukaryota, Metazoa, Chordata, Actinopteri, Cichliformes, Cichlidae. The record is from Ensembl.